CCUACGGGUGGCUGCAGUGAGGAAUAUUGGUCAAUGGGCGGGAGCCUGAACCAGCCAAGCAGCGUGAGGGAAGAAGGUACAGCGUAUCGUAAACCUCUUUUGUCAGGGAACAAAGGCGGGGACUAGUCCCCGGAUGAGGGUACCUGAAGAAAAAGCAUCGGCUAACUCCGUGCCAGCAGCCGCGGUAAUACGGAGGAUGCGAGCGUUAUCCGGAUUUAUUGGGUUAAAGGGGUGCGCAGGCGGCUUGUUAAGUCCGCGGUAAAAGCCCGGGGCUCAACCCCGGCGAGCCGUUGAUACUGGCGGUCUGGAGUUCGAUAGAGGUACGCGGAAUGCGCGGUGUAGCGGUGAAAUGCUUAGAUAUCGCGCAGAACCCCGAUUGCGAAGGCAGCGUACCGGCUUCACACUGACGCUGAGGCACGAAAGCGUGGGUAUCGAACAGGAUUAGAUACCCGAGUAGUC
Molecule: ribosomal RNA, 459 nt
Filed under: uncultured bacterium
Lineage: Bacteria
Description: partial 16S ribosomal RNA
Rfam family: Bacterial small subunit ribosomal RNA
Source: RNAcentral